AUUGAGAACCUGACCCUACAGGACAGUGGGCGAUACAAGGCAUACAGCAGGUUAAGUGAUGGACCAGAAGUUUUCCAAAUUUUCCACCUCAAGGUCUAUGAGCCUGUGUCCCCUCCACUGAUCCUAGUCAAGGCAUUGUCCAUUACACCAGGCUGGUGCAAUGUCACCCUGGAGUGCAGUGCCACAGGGGCCACAGAGGACCUGAAUGUGAUCUGGGAGAGCAAGAGCCUCCCCUGGGAGCUGGAGCAGAGAGGGACACCAGGUCCUGGACCCAAACCUUGGGCCCAGGCUGUGAGCCUGUCCCUGAGCGACGCCGACGCCAGCCUUACAUGUGUAGUCAGCAAUCCCGUGGACCAGAACAAUGCCACCUCAGACCUUGGUGACAUAUGCUUACGAGGUGCAGAACCACAGCAGGACCACAGGGUCGAUGACGAUGGCAUCUACUAUGUGCCGAUGAUGGACCAGGCAUCUCAUGAGAGCUACCGGUGAAUAACAUCUAAAGAAAAGAGGCUGCUCAAUGUUCUCUGCAGAGAGGUUUAUACUCCAGACCGGGCCUUCAAGAUGAUGAAUGUGGAGGAAACAGGAGACACCAGCCCCCCGGGUUACCUGCACCCUAAGCCUGAGCCUGCACUCGUCCACUUCCUCUGGCUUCAGUCAAGCUCGAGAUGCCCCUAGCAUGCAUCGUUCAGACCUAGUGCCUAUAACUUCUCCUGGCACCUCCCCAAGACACCCCCACACUCAGGAUCCUCAUGCCUAACAGUCAAGGUUCUUCCUCUGUCCUUGAUGUGACCCCUGAUCCCUCUCCUCCAGAAUCCGUCCCAAGGGAACCCCGCAUGAAACCCCCAACUCUGUUAACUGUGUGUCUCACUGAGAACACAGCCCUGUGAAGAGGUGUUGACUACUCAGAAAAGAGGGGACGGGAGCAGGCUCUGGAUGCUGAACUGGAGGUUUAUGGAGACAGCGUGAGUGAAUGGGAGUUGAGGCUUCCUUUGCAGACCUUGAGUAGGCUUCCCUUAGGGGGUCUCAGUCAGAGUGUGUUUUGGGGGUUUUACUGUGUGCCAAUCUCUCAUGGUAAAUUAUGGUGCAUCCAUGUCUAUUUGUGCACAUACAAAUACACUGUCGGUUCUGUUCCUAUGUACAAUUAAAUCUCAUCCACUCAUCCUUUUCCUGUCUAGAAGGCUCUAAUUGAACCAUUUGUCUAUUUCCAUGAGCAAUGUUGCAAGAUUUCUCCAUAUGCAUUCCAAGUUGUGUUAU
This 1254-nucleotide long non-coding RNA is filed under the name Chinchilla lanigera (long-tailed chinchilla). Its description in RNAcentral is "lncRNA (ENSCLAG00000025236.1)". Lineage: Eukaryota; Metazoa; Chordata; Mammalia; Rodentia; Chinchillidae. The record is from RNAcentral.